RNAcentral lists this ribosomal RNA (636 nucleotides) under Rotylenchulus reniformis. Its description in RNAcentral is "SSU rRNA". It matches the Rfam family "Eukaryotic small subunit ribosomal RNA", at positions 1003 to 1664 of the family's 1831-position model. The record is from RNAcentral. Lineage: Eukaryota; Metazoa; Nematoda; Chromadorea; Rhabditida; Hoplolaimidae.
GGCGAUCAGAUACCGCCCUAGUUCUGACCGUAAACGAUGCCAACUAGCGAUCCGCCAGUCGACUCAUCGCUCUGGUGGGGAGCUUCCCGGAAACGAAAGUCUUCCGGUUCCGGGGGAAGUAUGGUUGCAAAGCUGAAACUUAAAGGAAUUGACGGAAGGGCACCACCAGGAGUGGAGCCUGCGGCUUAAUUUGACUCAACACGGGGAAACUCACCCGGCCCUGACACCGUAAGGAUUGACAGAUUGAUAGCUUUUUCAUGAUUCGGUGGAUGGUGGUGCAUGGCCGUUCUUAGUUCGUGGAGCGAUUUGUCUGGUUUAUUCCGAUAACGAGCGAGACUCUGGCCUACUAAAUAGUUGACGCAUUGCCACUGUGCGCACAACUUCUUAGAGGGAUUUUCGGUGUUUUCAACCGCACGAAAUUGAGCAAUAACAGGUCUGUGAUGCCCUUAGAUGUCCGGGGCUGCACGCGCGCUACACUGGCAAAAUCAGCGUGCUUGUCCUCCCCCGAAAGGGGUUGGUAAACCGAUGAAAAUUUGCCGUGAUUGGGAUCGGACAUUGCAAUUACUGUCCGUGAAUGAGGAAUCCCUUGUAAGGGCGAGUCAUCAACUCGUCCCGAAUACGUCCCUGCCCUUUGUA